Molecule: ribosomal RNA, 493 nt
Filed under: uncultured bacterium
Lineage: Bacteria
Description: partial 16S ribosomal RNA
Rfam family: Bacterial small subunit ribosomal RNA
Source: RNAcentral
GACGAACGCUGGCGGCGUGCUUAACACAUGCAAGUCGAACGGUGAAGCGCCUUCCUUUUUGGUGGGUGUGGAUGAGUGGCGAACGGGUGAGUAACACGUGAGUAACCUGCCCCCUUCUUCUGGAUAACCGCAUGAAAGUGUGGCUAAUACGGGAUAUUCUGGGUCUGUCGCAUGAUGGGUCUGGGAAAGAUAUUGUUUCGGUGGGGGAUGGGCUCGCGGCCUAUCAGCUUGUUGGUGGGGUGAUGGCCUACCAAGGCGGUGACGGGUAGCCGGCCUGAGAGGGUGGACGGUCACACUGGGACCGAGACACGGCCCAGACUCCUACGGGAGGCAGCAGUGGGGAAUAUUGCACAAUGGGCGCAAGCCGGAUGCAGCGACGCCGCGUGAGGGAUGGAGGCCUUCGGGUUGUGAACCUCUUUCGCCAGUGAAGCAGGCCUGCCUCGUUUGUGGGUGGGUUGACGGUAGCGGGAUAAGAAGCGCCGGCUAACUACGU